UAGCACUAAGGAAACAAAGCUUCCAUGAAUCAGUCUGGACCCAGGAUCCACAAUACAAAAUGCCAAGUCGGAAGUAUUUGACAGAAGGCCAUGUCAGCAUUGCAUACAGAAAUGAAAGCAAAGGUCGGUUGGUUGGACAUUGAAGGAAGAUACAAUAAACAUUGUAUCGUGAGAUUCUCAAUGCUUUUUGUGACAAAUAUAGCUAUACUGUAUUGCAGUAUAUACUGUACAUGCAGUAAAUAAAGUAUUCCUUUUCUUUGGAUUUGUCAACUACAAUUAAUACAUUUUGUAUUAGUACUAUCUCCUCUUUAAGCUGCAAAGCUACGUGUUAAAGCACAUUUCCUCUUGCACCAAAGUUAUGAACAUAUGAAGACUUGCUUCAAGUUAGUGAUUUGGAUGGUAAUGCUCUUUUUCUGUUGUAAUUAAAGCAUUCCUUUGAUUCUGUAUUUGUUGUAAAAAAAAAUCCACAAAUAAAAUAAAUGUUGGUUAAAAA
Larimichthys crocea (large yellow croaker) is the source of this 493-nucleotide long non-coding RNA. RefSeq lists it as uncharacterized. NCBI's taxonomy places the organism in Eukaryota, Metazoa, Chordata, Actinopteri, Sciaenidae. The record is from RefSeq and is a predicted model, not a curated record. The transcript is spliced from 2 exons.